AAUCAACGCUGGCGGCGUGCCUCAGACAUGCAAGUCGAACGCGAAAGGUUCCUUCGGGAACCGAGUAGAGUGGCGCACGGGUGAGUAACACGUAGGUAAUUUGCCUUUGGGUGGGGAAUAACAGCCGGAAACGGCUGCUAAUACCGCAUAAUGCAGCGGCUCGACAUCGAGACAGUUGUUAAAGCGGGGGAUCGCAAGACCUCGCGCCUAAAGAGAAGCCUGCGGCAGAUUAGCUAGUUGGUAGGGUAAUGGCCUACCAAGGCGACGAUCUGUAACCGGCCUGAGAGGGCGGUCGGUCACACUGACACUGACAUACGGGUCAGACUCCUACGGGAGGCAGCAGUCGGGAAUUUUGGGCAAUGGGCGAAAGCCUGACCCAGCAACGCCGCGUGAAGGAUGAAAUCCCUCGGGAUGUAAACUUCGCAAGAAUGGGAAGAAUAAGUGU
Molecule: ribosomal RNA, 445 nt
Filed under: uncultured bacterium
Lineage: Bacteria
Description: bacterial SSU rRNA
Rfam family: Bacterial small subunit ribosomal RNA
Source: RNAcentral